GACGAACGCUGGCGGCGUGCCUAAUACAUGCAAGUAGAACGCUGAAGAGAGGAGCUUGCUCUUCUUGGAUGAGUUGCGAACGGGUGAGUAACGCGUAGGUAACCUGCCUUGUAGCGGGGGAUAACUAUUGGAAACGAUAGCUAAUACCGCAUAACAAUGGAUGACACAUGUCAUUUAUUUGAAAGGGGCAAUUGCUCCACUACAAGAUGGACCUGCGUUGUAUUAGCUAGUAGGUGAGGUAAUGGCUCACCUAGGCGACGAUACAUAGCCGACCUGAGAGGGUGAUCGGCCACACUGGGACUGAGACACGGCCCAGACUCCUACGGGAGGCAGCAGUAGGGAGUCUUCGGCAAUGGGGGCAACCCUGACCGAGCAACGCCGCGUGAGUGAAGAAGGUUUUCGGAUCGUAAAGCUCGGUUGUAAGUCAAGAACGGGUGUGAGAGUGGAAAGUUCACACUGUGACGGUAGCUUACCAGAAAGGGACGGCUAACUACGUG
This 497-nucleotide ribosomal RNA is filed under the name uncultured bacterium. Its description in RNAcentral is "partial 16S ribosomal RNA". It matches the Rfam family "Bacterial small subunit ribosomal RNA", at positions 28 to 507 of the family's 1533-position model. The record is from RNAcentral.